RNAcentral lists this ribosomal RNA (497 nucleotides) under uncultured bacterium. Its description in RNAcentral is "partial 16S ribosomal RNA". It matches the Rfam family "Bacterial small subunit ribosomal RNA", at positions 28 to 507 of the family's 1533-position model. The record is from RNAcentral.
GAUGAACGCUGGCGGCGUGCCUAAUACAUGCAAGUCGAGCGAGCGGACGAGAAGCUUGCUUCUCUGAUGUUAGCGGCGGACGGGUGAGUAACACGUGGCUAACCUACCUAUAAGACUGGGAUAACUUCGGGAAACCGGAGCUAACACCGGAUAAUAUUUUGAACCGCAUGGUUCAACAGUGAAAGACGGUCUUGCUGUCACUUAUAGAUGGAUCCGCGCUGCAUUAGCUAGUUGGUAAGGUAACGGCUUACCAAGGCAACGAUGCAUAGCCGACCUGAGAGGGUGAUCGGCCACACUGGAACUGAGACACGGUCCAGACUCCUACGGGAGGCAGCAGUAGGGAAUCUUCCGCAAUGGGCGAAAGCCUGACGGAGCAACGCCGCGUGAGUGAUGAAGGUCUUCGGAUCGUAAAACUCUGUUAUUAGGGAAGAACAUAUGUGUAAGUAUCUGUGCACAUCUUGACGGUACCUAAUCAGAAAGCCACGGCUAACUACGUG